AAAACCGUUUCUGGUGAUGUGCGCGUCAAUCAUAACGACAUAAAAACAUGAUGAACGUCAGCAUCGGCUGUGAUAUAACAGCUACGAUAUCGUAUAUCGUACAGACUCCAGAACUAUCGUAUAAAUACGGUCACAGCACAGUACAGGCCUGCACAUUGACUUUAAGCCGCCAGCUGAGACCUGGACCGAUGCUGACUGCUUUGCUUCACUCACAGUUCACCCGGGCGCCGAGAGCACCAGCCGGUUGAGAAAGAGGAAGAGACUCUGACAGCGGAGCGAGAAAACAAACACAAGACCCUGAUCCCCACACGACUGUUUGAUCUGCGCAGACCCCAAAGUGGGAUUUUCUCGUGGGAACGGAUUCAUCGGCACAGAGUUUGAUGGUGAUGGUGUUGGUUUAACCAGGCAGUGCAGGUUGUCUGGACAAACUAAAAGUCAAUGACAGCAGCGUUCCACAAGCAGCACUGAACUAGAGUUUGUCAGCGCGAGGCUCCUGCAGCGUGAGCACGGGGGGGGCUCAUUCACACGGCCGGGGCUGGGGAGGGUUGACCCUUCAGACGCCUCACUCAGCGGAAGCCACUCCAGCUUUGCUUGUCAAGGUCCCAACUCCUCCACUUGUGUUUACAGGAACGUGAGUAAGGCUGGAGGACAAACAGUGAGACGGUGUGACUCCUCCACAGCAGGUGGACCACAAUCAGAGGCGGCGGCCGACGCAGCCAUGGGAACAUGUUCUACGCUCGUUGCCCCGUCACUGCCGUUUUGUUUUCACAUGGCCUUCAACCUCGGCGUGUGGACCACAAACAGAUGUGAAGGCGUUUCUCACAGCGUUUCCUUUGAGUCACGAGUCAGAGACUCUGCUAAGCAACGAGCGCUAACGUCGCCUUUCUACCAGCAGGUGGCAGCUUGUUCACACCUGCUCAGGUGUCUGUAGCAGUGUUUGCUUUGCAGAGAGCAGCAGGACGGGUCCAUGUGUGCCACCAUGCGCCCGCUGGGGUCAGCGUUGGUCUGUGUCUGUGUGAUGGCCAGGCUGCCGGUGGUUCUCACAGCCCCAUGGAGUGACCCUGAACAGCAGGGAACAGCAUCAU
Long non-coding RNA from Betta splendens (Siamese fighting fish), 1085 nucleotides. RefSeq lists it as uncharacterized. The transcript has 3 exons. Lineage: Eukaryota; Metazoa; Chordata; Actinopteri; Anabantiformes; Osphronemidae. The record is from RefSeq and is a predicted model, not a curated record.